This 85-nucleotide transfer RNA is filed under the name Felis catus (domestic cat). It matches the Rfam family "tRNA". From Rfam's summary of the family: Transfer RNA (tRNA) molecules are approximately 80 nucleotides in length. Their secondary structure includes four short double-helical elements and three loops (D, anti-codon, and T loops). Lineage: Eukaryota; Metazoa; Chordata; Mammalia; Carnivora; Felidae. The record is from Rfam by way of RNAcentral.
GCCUGGGUGGCUCAGUGGGUUGAGCAUCUGACUUCAGCUCAGGUCAUGAUCUCACGGUCUGUGGGUUCGAGCCCCGCGUUGGGCU